This is a non-coding RNA of Paralichthys olivaceus (Japanese flounder), 787 nucleotides long. The record is from RefSeq and is a predicted model, not a curated record. Lineage: Eukaryota; Metazoa; Chordata; Actinopteri; Pleuronectiformes; Paralichthyidae.
CACACAGACAGUAAAUUUGUCGUUAUCUUGACGAUAAUUUAAAUUCCCAUGAUUCUCCUGGUUUUUCAGAGAGGCCGUUGUUGCCGUCGAUCGUCACUCAGAGAAAGAGACUGAAGAGUUUCUGCCACAGAGACGCUCGCGCCUGUACGGCAUCACCACGACAACCACACAGUGUCCACAAGUUUAUAAUUACUGCAUCAACAACGGAGGCUGCUCUCACCUUUGUCUUCCGCGACUUGGCGGCUUCGCCUGCCGCUGCCCGGACGCCGCUGACGGCCGAUGUGAGGAGAGGAAGUCGUGAGUUCAGCUGAAAGACGGGAAGCAAAAACAACUCAACUGAAUCUGGGUGUUUUUGAAGUUUCUAACUUGAAAUGAACAUUUUCUUUCAUCCUUUUGCUUUUUGGCCCCAAAACCUGUUCAGGCCUCACUGACACUAUGAUGUCACUAUGAUGUCACACUCUUCACUGUGAUGUCACAAAGAGAACUUGUCCGUUGAUGAGGUCUGUCCUUAUUUCCUGUAAAACGUGUAAUGCUAUGAAACACUUCAACCACGAUUUCUCAUAAAACAUCCCGUCACACGUCAGGUAAGAUCGUUCUCGUCCUGUUCAAGUUGAAUUCAGAUUUAGUUCCUGAUGUUUUCGUUAUUUUGAAUCUGAAAAAACAUUUUGACCAGAUGAUGAUUUUAUGAAAACGAAAGAAAAACUUUUAUAGUAUUUUGUUAUAAAACUCGAAAGUAAAAUUCAAGUUGUGUGAAGUUUGUGAUGAUUAAAAACGUGUUCAAACGGAA